AACGAACGCUGGCGGCAUGCCUAACACAUGCCAGUCGAACGAGACCUUCGGGUCUAGUGGCGCACGGGUGCGUAACGCGUGGGAACCUGCCCUUAGGUUCGGAAUAACUCCCCGAAAGGGGUGCUAAUACCGGAUAAUGUCUUCGGACCAAAGAUUUAUCGCCUUUGGAUGGGCCCGCGUUGGAUUAGCUAGUUGGUAGGGUAAAAGCCUACCGAGGCGACGAUCCAUAGCUGGUCUGAGAGGAUGAUCAGCCACACUGGGACUGAGACACGGCCCAGACUCCUACGGGAGGCAGCAGUAGGGAAUAUUGGACAAUGGGCGAAAGCCUGAUCCAGCAAUGCCGCGUGAGUGAUGAAGGCCUUAGGGUUGUAAAGCUCUUUUACCCGGGAUGAUAAUGACAGUACCGGGAGAAUAAGCUCCGGCUAACUCCGUG
This 433-nucleotide ribosomal RNA is filed under the name uncultured bacterium. Its description in RNAcentral is "partial 16S ribosomal RNA". It matches the Rfam family "Bacterial small subunit ribosomal RNA", at positions 29 to 507 of the family's 1533-position model. The record is from RNAcentral.